GACGAACGCUGGCGGCGUGCUUAACACAUGCAAGUCGAACGGAAAGGCCCUGCUUUUGUGGGGUGCUCGAGUGGCGAACGGGUGAGUAACACGUGAGUAACCUGCCCUUGACUUUGGGAUAACUUCAGGAAACUGGGGCUAAUACCGGAUAGGAGCUCCUGCUGCAUGGUGGGGGUUGGAAAGUUUCGGCGGCUGGGGAUGGACUCGCGGCUUAUCAGCUUGUUGGUGGGGUAGUGGCUUACCAAGGCUUUGACGGGUAGCCGGCCUGAGAGGGUGACCGGCCACAUUGGGACUGAGAUACGGCCCAGAUUCCUACGGGAGGCAGCAGUGGGGAAUAUUGCACAAUGGGCGGAAGCCUGAUGCAGCAACGCCGCGUGCGGGAUGACGGCCUUCGGGUUGUAAACCGCUUUCGCCUGUGACGAAGCGUGAGUGACGGUAAUGGGUAAAGAAGCACCGGCUAACUACGUG
RNAcentral lists this ribosomal RNA (468 nucleotides) under uncultured bacterium. RNAcentral describes it as "partial 16S ribosomal RNA". It matches the Rfam family "Bacterial small subunit ribosomal RNA", at positions 28 to 507 of the family's 1533-position model. The record is from RNAcentral.